AUGUUCGAGUAUCUAAAUGUUGUCAGCAAGAUGUUUGAUAGUGAGGCUGAAGGCUAUGAAUUCUACAACAAAUAUUCUCUUGAAAAAGGUUUUAGUGUGAGGAAAAGCUACGUUGAGUGGGAUGGAUCCAACAAAUACAUAAUUUUAAGGAAAAUUGUGUGUAGUCGUCAAGGGUUUCGCGAAGAGAAGCACAUGAAAAGAAAGAUGGAAUAUAGAAAGAGGAGGUCACGAAGUUUAACUCGUGUUGGGUGUAAUGCUAAAUUGGUCAUUACGAGACAUGAGGAAAUCGGUCUGUGGUUUGUCAAGGAUUUCAUCGAUGAGCACAGCCAUCCUCUAGCCCCAUGGGAUCUUUUUGUCUGCUGUAUUCGCACAGACGAAUUAGCGAUGAGCAGAAAGCGGACAUUGCGGACAUGGAAAAAUGUGGGAUCCGCAAAUACCAUAUUAUGGAUAUUUUGUGCUUUCAAUACGGUGGAUUUGAUAAGGUUGGAUGCAUAA
This 495-nucleotide ribosomal RNA is filed under the name Triticum aestivum (bread wheat). RNAcentral describes it as "partial small subunit ribosomal RNA". Lineage: Eukaryota; Viridiplantae; Streptophyta; Magnoliopsida; Poales; Poaceae. The record is from RNAcentral.